RNAcentral lists this long non-coding RNA (261 nucleotides) under Brachypodium distachyon (stiff brome). Its description in RNAcentral is "long non-coding RNA (BDIS_LNC005170)". The record is from RNAcentral. Lineage: Eukaryota; Viridiplantae; Streptophyta; Magnoliopsida; Poales; Poaceae.
UCGUCGUCCUGACUGGUCCAUAACAGCUUCAACUCUUCAGGGACAUCUGGAAUGAAUACACGGAUUUUUCCUUUUCUACAACAAAAUGCAGGCCCCUCGUACUGAAACCUUGUUGCUUCACAAUGGCCGCAGUCUCUGACUUUUCUGAGAACAUGGUGUUCUCUGGGUAGAUCUCGGUAGACACUAUCAAAACUAUCAUGCUCCGGUAUUCCACCAGCAGCCUGACGUUCGUCUCGGACCGAUUCAUACUCAACAUGUACA